GUCCGCUUAGUUCAACGGUAGAACACUGGUUUGUGGUACUAGUAAUCCCAGUUCAAUUCUGGGAGCAGGCC
This 71-nucleotide transfer RNA is filed under the name Rhodotorula toruloides. RNAcentral describes it as "tRNA-His (GTG) cove score=41.65". It matches the Rfam family "tRNA". From Rfam's summary of the family: Transfer RNA (tRNA) molecules are approximately 80 nucleotides in length. Their secondary structure includes four short double-helical elements and three loops (D, anti-codon, and T loops). Further hydrogen bonds mediate the characteristic L-shaped molecular structure. tRNAs have two regions of fundamental functional importance: the anti-codon, which is responsible for specific mRNA codon recognition, and the 3' end, to which the tRNAs corresponding amino acid is attached (by aminoacyl-tRNA synthetases). tRNAs cope with the degeneracy of the genetic code in two manners: having more than one tRNA (with a specific anti-codon) for a particular amino acid; and 'wobble' base-pairing, i.e. permitting non-standard base-pairing at the 3rd anti-codon position. RNAcentral also lists the same sequence under 1 other name. The record is from RNAcentral. Lineage: Eukaryota; Fungi; Basidiomycota; Microbotryomycetes; Sporidiobolales; Sporidiobolaceae.